Melanotaenia boesemani (Boeseman's rainbowfish) is the source of this 206-nucleotide long non-coding RNA. RefSeq lists it as uncharacterized. The transcript is spliced from 3 exons. Lineage: Eukaryota; Metazoa; Chordata; Actinopteri; Atheriniformes; Melanotaeniidae. The record is from RefSeq and is a predicted model, not a curated record.
AUUUAAGCAGGCGUAGAGCCAGCUUUGGGAAGGUUCGUCUGGUCAACAGGUCACCUGACUUCCGGCUGUCGCGGAGAUUAUCACCGCUGUGCGUGAAACUAGCUCUCACACCAAGACUGCUGUGGGAAACUCCCGUGUUGUGCUGCCUCUCGCGCCGAGCCGACUUCCGUGUGUGGCUUCCGUGUGUGGCAAACCCCCGUCAUCCG